UACAGAGGUCUCAAGCGUUGUUCGGAUUCAUUGGGCGUAAAGGGUGCGUAGGCGGCGCGGUAAGUCGGGUGUGAAAUCUCGGAGCUUAACUCCGAAACUGCAUUCGAUACUGCCGUGCUUUGAGGACUGGAGAGGAGACUGGAAUUUACGGUGUAGCGGUGAAAUGCGUAGAUAUCGUAAGGAAGACCAGUGGCGAAGGCGGGUCUCUGGACAGUUCCUGACGCUGAGGCACGAAGGUCAGGGGAGCAAACGGG
Molecule: ribosomal RNA, 254 nt
Filed under: uncultured bacterium
Lineage: Bacteria
Description: partial 16S ribosomal RNA
Rfam family: Bacterial small subunit ribosomal RNA
Source: RNAcentral